GAUAUAGCCGUGAAAUUGAUGCGACCCAAGCGUUCAUUUGAGUCAAAUGCCCCCAUCUACGACGAACGCUGUUUACAUUCCAAUCUCAAAGCUCGGCUUUACAAUGUCCAUGGCGGAUUUCACGACAUCACGAUGGAAGCAAGAUAUCCAGGUGGUGUUCGGACUUCAGACAUAACCGAAGACGAAGAAGAAACCGCAUCCAUUUUGAGAAUAUUCAGUUUUUUUUUUAUUUUGUGGGUGUACGUAUAUAUGUAUAUAUAUAAGUAAAAGCAAGUGGACAAAUUCCAAAUCUUGGGGGAAGAUAUAUCGUCGAGUGAAUCGUAUCGUCGACA
This is a long non-coding RNA of Tarenaya hassleriana, 332 nucleotides long. RefSeq lists it as uncharacterized. NCBI's taxonomy places the organism in Eukaryota, Viridiplantae, Streptophyta, Magnoliopsida, Brassicales, Cleomaceae. The record is from RefSeq and is a predicted model, not a curated record. The transcript is spliced from 2 exons.